UUAUUGGAACUUUAACCACAAUACAUGACAAAACGCUGAAUAAGACUAUCAUCAGAUUCAAGGACCCUUUGGUAGCUAUCGUAACCGCCUGUUUAAAAUCAACACCGAAGUCACUAUAGCGACACGCUACCAUCGAAUUUUUCAACUAACCCUGUGAGAUUUUAGAGAACGGCAUGCUUCCAUCUGCUCAUGAGCUUUAUGGAGAUGCUGAUUUCCUUCUCCAGCAGGACUCUGCACCUGCCCACAGUGCCAAAACUUCUAGUAACUGCUUUAUUGACCAUGGUGUUACUGUGCUCGAUCGUCCAGCCGACCCGCCUGACCCGAACCCCCAUAGAGAAUCUACGAGAGACACCAGACCCAACAAUACAGACGAGCUGAAGACCGCUAUCAAAGCAACCUGGACCUCCAGAACACCUCAGCAGCGCCACAGGCUGAUCGCCUCCACGCCACGCCGCACUGAUGCGGUCAUUCCUGCACAAGGAUUAAAACCCUGACCGAGUAUCAGCGCAUAAACUAACACACUGUUCACAAAGUCCACAUUUCUGUAUUAUAAAUUCUUUAUUCGAAUAUUUUGAGAUACUAAAUUUUUGAUUUCCGUGAGCUGUAAGCCGUAAUCAUCGACACUAACACAAAAAAGUCUUGAAAUAUUUCACUUUAUGUGUAAUGAAUCUAGUAUAUAUGAAAGUUCCACUUUUUGAAUUAAAUUACAGGGGAAAAAAUGAACUUUUCCACGAUAUUUCGUCAGAUGCACCUGUACGUUCUGAGAACUUUACAACACAGUGUUCUCUUAUGGAUGUAUCACAAUGGACAAGGUAUUUUCGCCAAAAGGUUGCUUUUAGCCUCUUUUUUAAAAUUAAUUAAUUAAUUAAUUUUUUAACUACAAACUAACCUUUCAGGGAAAGUUCCUGUAAAGUUCUUUCAUGGUCUCAUAACAAUACGUUUUGUAGCUAUAUACAAAAGUUGCAGGAACAAUAAAAAAAAUAAUAAAAAAUGUUCCCAGAACAUUCCGGGAACCAAUAAUUGUUAGCAGUUUGUCAUAUAAUUUUUUUUUUUACAGUAGUUUGUGCUUUCAGACAGCGGUAGUAUGAACGAGAUGUGUGUUGGUUGCCAGUUACUCUAUUUUAAUUGUAGAACUCACCCUGAGCUGCUGUAAUAGUCAAAUAUAUGGUGUUAUGAUGCUAGGUUAAGACGUUGAUGCGAUGGAUGAGUGGCACUUUUACUGAUUUGACUGUGCUUGAAAUUUGCAUGAGCUGUUAGGCCAUGUACAGAGGUGUUAGGUGACCAUUUCUUUCUAAAAUAACAGCGCAGCAGACACGAGUUUUCAGUGCAGCAGUUGUGGAGAAUGUUGAGACUUGUUGCAUUAUUAAACGUAAUAGCUUUUCAAGUCAACAUUUAAGCGACAUAUCAUGAUUUGAGUUUAUCUUGACGUUGCCAUGCCACAAACAUACAAAAAAACAAGCCUUUGUGAUGUAAAUGUUUUUAUUAGCUGAGCAAAGUAGAAUACACAGUUCAGCCAUAACAUUAAAACCACUGAAUAGUUUAUUCUUACGUGCACACCACACACAAGCACAGACCCGAGAACAAUCCUGAACUGGGUCCCACACACAAAUAACGAUGCUGCUGGAUUUAGUCUCUCCGUGACUGUAUGUUUGGCUGGUGUGUAUUUUUCUUUUCCGAUUACGCCUUACACACCAGACCCUAGAAGACCCUAGAAGCCUGUACAGUGUUUACACGGCAUUUUUAUUUAUUUUGAAUCACUGACUCACUGCAGAUAUGAGUUUAUUUCUGUCGAUUCUUGGAGGAUGUAGGAGCAGACGUGAGUGUUGCCAUGGCAAUAGGCAUGGAGACUCUAUCUUCCCAAAUCUUUCUUACUGAAAGUCUUCAUUUGGCAGAACACACACACACACACACACACACACACACACACACACACACUUCAAAAGUUUGAUUGGGUUGAUUGGGCUCUACGUCUAUCACUUGAAAUAAUUUCUGUUCAGCCCAGCUGCAUCCUGAUGCCACAUGAUUCCACUUGUGUGUGUGUGUGUGUGUGUGUGUGUGUGUGUGUGUGUGUGUGUGUGUGUGUGUGUGUGUGUGUGUGUUGUUGUUGUUGUUGUUGUUUUUUUCCUGAUCAAAGUGAUGUAGUUUGACCAAUUUCAAAAACUGGUCAGUCUUUCCUAGUAGAAUGUAAUCUAAGAAAAAUGUGUUGACCCAUUUUCGACAACAAUGUCUCUUUUUUUCCGUUUAUUUUGUUUACAAGGUUUCUUUGCUAACACUGGAUGUAUAUUACUGUUAAAUCAGUAAUAGUUUUUAAAUAAGAGUUGUUUUUUCCCCGCAAUUCAAUUAGCAAAUACUCAAGAUGUGGCUAAUUACUACCCAUGCUUCUGGCAUUUACUUAAUGAGUCACUUAAAAUUAUUAUUAUUAUUAUUAUUAUUAUUAUUAUUAUUGUUGUUGUUGUUGUUGUUGUAAUAACAUACUUUCACAUACAACAGGGUUGUACUUUCAAAGUGACCUCACGAGCCAGUAUCUCACUUUCGCCUAAAGAAGAAAAAGAAUGCAGGAAUGUAUUUCAUGAUCUUCAGAACAUUUGGAUGAUUCUUUCAACUUCUGGUUGAACUUGUGACUUGUGGAAUAUUCCAAAUAUUUCAUAGGGGUUAAUGUCGGGGGACAUUUUUUUCAUAACCUCUCAGAAAAGGAUGUUUCGAGCAUGAGAUAUUAAACAGAUUAACAUGUUCAUCCACAAAUAAGAUUUUAAUGAUCAUAUUUCAUAGUACAAGGUAGUUAGAGAGAUGUUUUCUGUAGUGCUGUAGAGAUUUUAUUCAUCCGAAACAUGCAAGGGAACGUUACAUCAUCGAAUGUCCAUUAUCUUUGCUUUACGCCCAUUUUUUUAAAUGUUGUAUUUUCUCUUAUGUGAAUCCUGUGCUGCCUCAGAAAGCUCUUCUGCCUGAUGGACUUAUUCAGGUCUCCAGAUGCAGAUGCUCAUGAUGAUGAUGAUGAUGAUGAUGAUGAUGUGACUUCACCGACUUCACCUUACCCUUCCUGUCUAACAAAUGAGCCCUACUUUAGCUUUUAGAUAAAUGAAAUAACUGUUAGGGGCAUAAAAUGGUGUCACUGAAAGCCCCAAUCUGUCGUUGUAGCCUUAUUAUAGUGGUGGAGUGGCUAAAUAUAGAGCUCAAGUACAACAACUGAGCGCUAAGAGAAAGAGAGGUGGAGGAAGAGGAACAGAGAAGGAAACUAGAAGAGACAAAGAAAGAUUUUUUUUUAUUAUUAUUUAAAAAAAAAAAAAAAAAACUUAGCAACAUUUGGCUCAGUAAUACCAUUUAAACAAAAAAGGUUGCUAAACUAGCUAGCAACACGCUUCCCUCACAACAUUAGCUUCAAAGAAAACUGCACACACCAAACGAGUCUUGGAUUUUACUUUUAUAGUGAGAAAAACAUUCCCAACAAAAUGCGAUUUUUUCAGACUGUAGACUGUUCUUUUAAACAAAGAAGAACCGUGCUAGGACAGAUUUCCAAGCGUUUACCCACAAAUACAGUACAAGUGAGAAUGCAGCGCCAUCUUGUGGUCAACAGUGAUAACAUUAUAGCCAUUAUACCGUGUAUAUUAUAUGGAGAGUCAUAUUAUUAUUAUUUUAAAUAUGGUAUAUCGUACAGCCUUUUAAUAAUACCAUAUGAGCAAUUUCUGUAUAUUUUAAGACCACAGCCACACACAAUGCAACUAGACCUGUUACUCUGUGCUAUAAUGUCGAAUAAAUAUCCAUUGUCUA
This is a long non-coding RNA of Ictalurus punctatus (channel catfish), 3765 nucleotides long. RefSeq lists it as uncharacterized. The record is from RefSeq and is a predicted model, not a curated record. Lineage: Eukaryota; Metazoa; Chordata; Actinopteri; Siluriformes; Ictaluridae. The transcript has 2 exons.